CCUUCUUGAAGACUCAGGGUAGCCAUUCCUUGCUCCAUAUUUAAUUUUAAUUCUAAAGUCAUCUAAUUUCAUGGAAUCUUUGAAUUUGCAGUACGUUGAACUUUUAAAAAACUGACAGUCUCAUCGAACUCAAGGAAUCUUCAGCAAAGCUCUACAUUAAUCAUACUCCUCCACCACUGUCCAAGAGUAAGGAGAGAGAAAUGGACAAGAAAGAUUUGGACAAGUCAAGGGAAAGAUCCAGAGAAAGAGAGAAAAAAGAUGAAAAGGACAGGAAAGAGCGGAAAAGGGAUCACUCAAACAACGACCGUGAAGUGCCACCGGACUUAACCAAGAGACGUAAAGAGGAGAAUGGAACAAUGGGGGUUUCAAAACAUAAAAGUGAAAGUCCUUGUGAAUCUCCUUAUCCAAAUGAGAAAGACAAGGAAAAAAAUAAGUCAAAAUCUUCAGGCAAAGAAAAAGGCAGUGAUUCAUUUAAAUCUGAGAAGAUGGAUAAAAUCUCCUCCGGUGGCAAAAAGGAGUCCAGGCAUGAUAAAGAAAAGAUAGAAAAGAAAGAGAAACGGGACAGUUCAGGAGGAAAGGAAGAGAAGAAACAUCAUAAGUCCUCGGACAAGCACAGAUAAUGAAGACUUUCCAUCAAGGUGAGAUCGGACUGGAACUGUUCAGCUGCGACCAGAAAUUUAUUUUCCUGAGUAAAUUGCCAAGAAUUAAGAAUGAAGAGGGCCAUUUGCAUCUCCUUAAAUUAUUCAGUUAUCUGCUUUAUUGCUCCAU
RNAcentral lists this small RNA (768 nucleotides) under Pan troglodytes (chimpanzee). Its description in RNAcentral is "processed transcript". Lineage: Eukaryota; Metazoa; Chordata; Mammalia; Primates; Hominidae. The record is from RNAcentral.